CUCAAAUGUAUGUGACGUAUUCUGAAAGGGAUACUUCUUCGGACAAUAUACAAGGUGCUGCAUGGUUGUCGUCAGCUCGUGCCGUGAGGUGUCGGGUUAAGUCCCAUAACGAGCGCAACCCCUAUCAUUAGUUGCCAUCAGGUCAAGCUGGGGACUCUAAUGAAACUGCCUACGCAAGUAGUGAGGAAGGUGGGGAUGACGUCAAAUCAGCACGGCCCUUACGUCCAGGGCUACACACGUGCUACAAUGGUCGGUACAAAGGGUUGCCAAGCCGCGAGGUGGAGCUAAUCCCAUAAAACCGAUCGUAGUCCGGAUCGCAGUCUGCAACUCGACUGCGUGAAGUCGGAAUCGCUAGUAAUCGUGAAUCAGAAUGUCACGGUGAAUACGUUCCCGGCCUU
Molecule: ribosomal RNA, 398 nt
Filed under: uncultured Sphingobacteriales bacterium
Lineage: Bacteria; Pseudomonadati; Bacteroidota; Sphingobacteriia; Sphingobacteriales
Description: bacterial SSU rRNA
Rfam family: Bacterial small subunit ribosomal RNA
Source: RNAcentral